Molecule: transfer RNA, 74 nt
Filed under: Myxococcales bacterium
Lineage: Bacteria; Pseudomonadati; Myxococcota; Myxococcia; Myxococcales
Description: tRNA-Leu
Rfam family: tRNA
About the family: Transfer RNA (tRNA) molecules are approximately 80 nucleotides in length. Their secondary structure includes four short double-helical elements and three loops (D, anti-codon, and T loops). Further hydrogen bonds mediate the characteristic L-shaped molecular structure. tRNAs have two regions of fundamental functional importance: the anti-codon, which is responsible for specific mRNA codon recognition, and the 3' end, to which the tRNAs corresponding amino acid is attached (by aminoacyl-tRNA synthetases). tRNAs cope with the degeneracy of the genetic code in two manners: having more than one tRNA (with a specific anti-codon) for a particular amino acid; and 'wobble' base-pairing, i.e. permitting non-standard base-pairing at the 3rd anti-codon position.
Source: RNAcentral
GCGGACGUAGCCCAAUCGGAAGAGGCACCUGCUUCAAGCCCAGGCAAGUGUAGGUUCGAAUCCUGCCGUCCGCA